Molecule: ribosomal RNA, 501 nt
Filed under: uncultured bacterium
Lineage: Bacteria
Description: bacterial SSU rRNA
Rfam family: Bacterial small subunit ribosomal RNA
Source: RNAcentral
AGAGUUUGAUUAUGGCUCAGGAUGAACGCUGGCGGCGUGCAUAACACAUUCAAGUCGAACGGACUGAUUUGUAGCUUGCUACGAAUGAAGUUAGUGGCGGACGGGUGAGUAACGCGUGAGCAACCUGCCUCUGUGUGUGGGAUACCGUCUGGAAACGGACGUUAAUACCGCAUAAUCCAUAGAGAUCGCAUGGUUUUUAUGGCAAAGAUUUAUUGCACAGAGAUGGGCUCGCGUCUGAUUAGGCAGUUGGUGAGGUAACGGCCCACCAAACCGACGAUCAGUAGCCGGACUGAGAGGUUGAACGGCCACAUUGGAACUGAGAGACGGUCCAGACUCCUACGGGAGGCAGCAGUGGGGAAUAUUGGGCAAUGGGCGAAAGCCUGAACCCCCAGCGACGCCGCGUGAAGGAAGACGGUCUUCGGAUUGUAAACUUCUUUUAUAUGGGACGAUGAUGACGGUACCAUAUGAAUAAGCCACGGCUAACUACGUGCCAGCCGCCGC